This 502-nucleotide unclassified non-coding RNA is filed under the name uncultured Diversispora. Its description in RNAcentral is "SSU rRNA". It matches the Rfam family "Eukaryotic small subunit ribosomal RNA", at positions 591 to 1092 of the family's 1831-position model. The record is from RNAcentral. Lineage: Eukaryota; Fungi; Glomeromycota; Glomeromycetes; Diversisporales; Diversisporaceae.
CCAAUAGCGUAUAUUAAAGUUGUUGCAGUUAAAAAGCUCGUAGUUGAACUUCGGGGUUCACCCAUUGGUCAGGCUUAAUUGUCUGCACUGGUGAGAUGAAUCUCUACCUUCUGAGGAACUUUCAUGUCAUUAAUUUGGUGUGAUUGGAAAUCAGGACUGUUACUUUGAAAAAAUUAGAGUGUUUAAAGCAGGCUAACGUCUGAAUACAUUAGCAUGGAAUAAUGAAAUAGGACGGACUGAUUCUAUUUCGUUGGUUUCUAGAAUCACCGUAAUGAUUAAUAGGGAUAGUUGGGGGCAUUAGUAUUCAAUUGUCAGAGGUGAAAUUCUUGGAUUUAUUGAAGACUAACUACUGCGAAAGCAUUUGCCAAGGAUGUUUUCAUUAAUCAAGAACGAAAGUUAGGGGAUCGAAGACGAUCAGAUACCGUCGUAGUCUUAACCAUAAACUAUGCCGACUAGGGAUCGGACGAAGUUAAUUUUAUAAUGACGCGUUCGGCACCUUACG